This 495-nucleotide ribosomal RNA is filed under the name uncultured bacterium. RNAcentral's name for it is "SSU rRNA". It matches the Rfam family "Bacterial small subunit ribosomal RNA", at positions 242 to 754 of the family's 1533-position model. The record is from RNAcentral.
CAGCUAGCUGGUGGGGUAAAGGCUCACCAGGGCCAUGAUCGGUAGCUGGUCUGAGAGGACGAUCAGCCACACUGGGAUUGAGAACGGCCCAGACUCCUACGGGGGGCAGCAGUGAGGAAUUUUCCGCAAUGGGCGCAAGCCUGACGGAGCAACGCCGCGUGCAGGACGACGGCCUUCGGGUUGUAAACUGCUUUUCUGGGGGACGAGCAAGGACGGUACCCCAGGAAUCAGCCCCGGCUAACUACGUGCCAGCAGCCGCGGUAAUACGUAGGGGGCAAGCGUUGUCCGGAGUUACUGGGCGUAAAGCGCACGCAGGCGGUUGCACGCGUUUCCGGUGCCAGCUCGUUGCUUAACGACGGGAGUGCCGGGAAGACGGUGCGACUCGAGGACCUCAGAGGGACAUAGAAUUCCGGGUGGAGUGGUGAAAUGCGUAGAUAUCCGGAGGAAUACCAAAGGCGAAGGCAGUGUCCUGGGAGGUAACUGACGCUAAGGUGC